This 491-nucleotide ribosomal RNA is filed under the name uncultured bacterium. Its description in RNAcentral is "partial 16S ribosomal RNA". It matches the Rfam family "Bacterial small subunit ribosomal RNA", at positions 29 to 507 of the family's 1533-position model. The record is from RNAcentral.
AUGAACGCUAGCUACAGGCUUAACACAUGCAAGUCGAGGGGAAACGACAUCGAAAGCUUGCUUUUGAUGGGCGUCGACCGGCGCACGGGUGAGUAACGCGUAUCCAACCUGCCCAUCACUUGGGAAUAACCUUGCGAAAGUAAGACUAAUACCCAAUGAUAUCCCACGAAGGCAUCGGAAUGGGAUUAAAGAUUUAUCGGUGAUGGAUGGGGAUGCGUCUGAUUAGCUUGUUGGCGGGGUAACGGCCCACCAAGGCAACGAUCAGUAGGGGUUCUGAGAGGAAGGUCCCCCACAUUGGAACUGAGACACGGUCCAAACUCCUACGGGAGGCAGCAGUGAGGAAGAUUGGUCAAUGGGCGAGAGCCUGAACCAGCCAAGUAGCGUGCAGGAAGACGGCCCUAUGGGUUGUAAACUGCUUUUAUAAGGGAAUAAAGUGGGUCACGUGUGACUUUUUGCAUGUACCUUAUGAAUAAGGACCGGCUAAUUCCGUG